Non-coding RNA from Acanthosepion pharaonis, 111 nucleotides. Lineage: Eukaryota; Metazoa; Mollusca; Cephalopoda; Sepiida; Sepiidae. The record is from the annotation of a GenBank genome assembly.
UUACGGCCAUAUUACGUCGAAACACGGGUUCUCGUACGAUCAACGACAUUAAACAAAGUUGAGCCGGGUCAGUACCUACAUGAGUGACCGCUUGGAAAUGCCAGAUGAUGU